GGAUAACAUGGGCCGAGUCCACGCUGACAGGAGCCUGGUCUCCUCAGGACCUGCCGGGAGGUGAUGCCGCUGAGGGAGAAGGCCGCACUGCACAGCAUGGGGGACCCUAGUUCCCUGACCAGGGAUUGAACCCACACCUCCUGCAGUGGAAUCGCAAAUUCCCAACCACUGGACUGCCAGGGAAGUCGCUGUCCUUUAUUAUAAAAAGAAAAAAGAAAGGCCUGGAAAAAUGCUCAACAUUAGGAAUUAUUAAAGACAUGCAAAUCCAAUCUGCAAAAACGUAUCAGCUCACACCAGUCAGAAUGACCAUCAGCAAAAAUUCUGCAAACACUAAGUGCCGAAGGGGUUGUGGAGAGAUGCGUACCCUCAGCUCUAAAUGGGACGUAAAGUGGUAAGAGCCACUAAUGAAAACAGAAUGGAGGUGCCCUUAAAAGGUAAACUUUGAGCUACCAUAUGCUGGGCCUAUAACCGAAGAAGACAGAAUCGGAAAGACACAGGCAGGCAAAACUGCACUGCAGCAGUAUUACAAUAGCCAAGUCAUGGAAGCAACCAAAAAGUCCAUCAACAGAUGAGUAGACAAGGAAGAACUGGUACAUGUACAGAUGCAAUAUUAGCCAAGGAAAAAAAUGAAACAAUGCCGUUUGCAGCACCAUAGAUGAGUCUAGAGGUAUUCACACAACUUGAAGUAAGUCACAAAGCGAAAGACACAUAUCCUAUGAUAUCACUUAUAGGUGUUACCUAAAGAUUGAUACCAAUGAAGACAUUUCCACAGAGAAAGGCAAUCACAGAUUCAUUAAACAAGCAUAUGGUUAACCAAAUGGAAAGGUGUGAGGAUUGGAUAAAUUAGGAUAUUGGGGUUAACAGAGAUAUACAAACACAUGUGAAAUAUAUAAUCACCAAAGACCUACGGAAUACCAAGAGAAGACUACUCAACAUUGUGUCAUAACCUACAUGGGAAGUGGAUCCGAAGAUGAAUAGAUAUAUGUAUAUGUGUAAAAGAACCACAUCUUGCACACCUAGAACAAACAAAACAUUGUAAUCAAAUUUGCUGUGAUAAAAGAUAAAAAUUAAAUUUAAAAAAUGACAAGAAGUAAUGAGACAUAAACUUAUGGGGGUUUUUCCUAGCACAUUCCAUUCUAAUUUACAACCUAGGAACACGACUUCCAGGAAGGCUCUGUUGCCCUAGGAACCAGAUUUGGGAAUGGAGAAAUGCUGCAGCCUUGUGGCUGUUUCUUGCAACAACAGCUUUAAGCCCAGUGCUAAUGGUCACUUAACACUCACAAUAAAUAAUUGCAGGUCUGUAAAUGACACCUGCCCUCAAAAAAAAUCCUGGGGUCAAAAAUCGACCUAGAAAUUCAAAAGAGGGCAACCCUCUAAGAAGACAAUUUCUUCUUGUAGAUGCAUAUUUUACUCACAUUUUUUCUUUUCUUUUUUUUUGUUGUUUAACAAAAAAGGGGCAUGGAAAAAUGCUCAACAUCAGGAGUAAAUAAAGACAUGCAAAUCCAAUCUACAAAAACGUUCACCUCACAUCACUCAGAAUGAUCAUGAGCAAAGAAUCUACAAACAGUAAAUGCUGAAGGGGUUUUAGAGAACUGUGUACCCUAGCUGCUGGUGGGAUGUAAUCUGCUAACAGCCAGCAGUGAGAACAGAAUGGAGGUGCGUUUAAAGGUAAAAAUUGAGCUACCAUAUGAUCUGGUAGGCCCACUGCUGGGCUUAUCACCUGAGAAGACCAGAAUCAAAAAGACACAGGCUGGCCAUCCUGCACUGCAGAAAUAUUUACCAUAGCCAAGACUUGGAUGCAACCAAAAUGUCCAUCAACAGAUGAAUGCACAAAGAAGAAGUGGUCCAUGUACACAAUGGAAUAUUAGCCAUGCAAAAGCAUGAAACAGUGCCAUUUGCACCACCAUAGAAGGACCUAGAGAUAAUCACACAACUUGAAGUAGGAAAGAAACCGAAAGACAGAUAUCCUAUGAUAUCACUUUAUAGGUGUUACCUAAAAAUUGAUACCCAUGAACUUAUUUCCAAGAGAAGGACACUCAUGGAUUAAGAAAACAAAAUUAUGUUUAACCAUAUGGAAAGGUGUGAGGAAUGGAUAAAUUAGGAUAUGGGGGUUGACAGACAUAUACUAAUACAUAUGAAAUAUAUAAUCACCAAAGACCUAUGGAAUUACCAAGAGAGGUCUGCUCAACACUCUGUAAUAACCUACAUGGGAAAGGAUCCAAAGAUGAAUAGAUAGAUACAUAAUGAACCAGAUUCUGUACACCUAGAACAAACAACAUUUUUAUCAAAUUUGCUCUGAUACAAAAUAAAAAUUAAAUUUAAAAAACAAACAAGAAAUAAGGAGAUGUAAGCUCUUGGGGGUUUGCCCUGGCACAUUCCAGUCUAAUUUGCAGCCUACUAACACGAUUUCCAGGAAGGCUCUGUUGCCCAAGUACCCAGAGUUUGAAAGGUAGAAAUGCUGCCGCCUUGUGGCCGUUUCCCGCAAGAGCGGCUUUAAACCCACAGCUAAUGGUCACUUAAUAUUCACAAGGACUCAGGGCUGUAAAGGACACCUGCCCUCAAAAAACGUCCUGAGGUAGGGAAAGGCCAAAAAAAUUCAAAACAGAGCAAAUUUUUCAAGAAGAGAGUAUGAAGAGGUAAGUUUUACUCACUCUUUUUUUAAAAAAAAAAGGAAAAUGGAUAAAAGCUCAACAUCAGGAAUUAUUAGACUCAUGGAAAUCUAAUCUACAAAAAGGUUUCAAGUCACAACAGUCGAAUGACCAUCAUCAAAAAGUCUACUAACAAUAAAUGCUGAAGGGGAUUUAGAGAACUGUGUACCCUCUAGCUGCUGGUGAGAUGUAAAGUGGUAACAGCCAAUAAUGAGAACAGAAAGGACCUGCGUUUAAAAGUAAAUACUGAGCUACCAUUCGAUACAGCAGGCCACCGCUGGCCCUAUCACCUGAGAAGACCAGAAUCGAGAAGACGCAGGCUGGCAAAGCUGCACUGAAGCCAUAUUCAUGAUAGCUAAGACAAUGAAGCAACCAAAACGUCCAUCAGCAGAUGAAUGGACAAAGAAGAAGUGGUCCAUGUACACAGUGGAAUACUAGCCAUGGAAAAGAAUGAAACACUGCUCUUUGCAGCAGCACAGAUGAGCCUAGAGAUAGUCACAGAACAUGAGGACAUGAAAACAUGUUCAACAUCAAGAAUUAUUAGAGACAUGCAAAUUUAAACUACAAAAAGGUAUCACCUCACACUAGUCUGAAUGGCCAUCAGAAAAAAAUGUCUGCAAACCAUAAAUGCUGAAUGGGUUUCCGAGAAUGGGUACCCUCCUAUGCUGUUGCUGGGAUGUAAACUGGUAACAGCCACUAAUUAGAACAGAAUGAAGAUGCCUUUAAAGGGUAACAAUUGAGCUACCAUAUGAUCCUGCUGAAACACUAAUGGGCCUAUAACCCGAGAAGACCAGAAUUCAGAAAGACGCAGGCACCCAAACGUGAACUGCAGCGAUAUUUACAAUAGCCAGACAUGGAUGCAACCAAAAUGUACAUCUACAAAUGAAUGGACAAAGAAGAAGUGGUACGUACACAAUGGAAUAUUAGCCAUGGAAAAGAUGAAACGAUGCCUUUUGCAGCACCACAGAUGAGCCUAGAGAUAAGCAUACUAUGUAAAGGAAGUCAGAAAGAGAAAGACAAAUAUCCGAUGAUAUCAUUUACUGGUGUUAUCUAAAAAUUGAUACCCAUGAACAUAUUCCCACAGAGAAAGACCCAUACAGACUUAGAAAAAGGUGAAAGGAAUGGAAAAAUUAGGACGUUGGGGUUAACAUACAUUUAAUAAUACAUAUAAAAUAUAUAAUCAAGAAGGACCUACUGGAUGCCAAGGGAGGUCUACUCAACACUCUAAUGACCAACAUGGGAAAGAAUCUAAACCUGAUUAGAUAUAUGUAUACGUAUGAAUGAACCAGAUUCUGUACACCUAGAACAAACACAACAUUGUAACCAAAUUUACUCUGAUAAGAAAUAAAAAUUAAAGUAAACAAGAA
Long non-coding RNA from Balaenoptera ricei (Rice's whale), 4015 nucleotides. RefSeq lists it as uncharacterized. Lineage: Eukaryota; Metazoa; Chordata; Mammalia; Artiodactyla; Balaenopteridae. The transcript is spliced from 4 exons. The record is from RefSeq and is a predicted model, not a curated record.